AUUAGGAAUCUUGCACAAUGGGCGAAAGCCUGAUGCAGCGACGCCGCGUGCGGGAUGACGGCCUUCGGGUUGUAAACCGCUUUUGUCAGGGAAGAAGAAUGUGACGGUACCUGACGAAUAAGCCCCGGCUAACUACGUGCCAGCAGCCGCGGUAAUACGUAGGGGGCGAGCGUUGUCCGAAGUUACUGGGCGUAAAGCGCGCGUAGGCGGUCUUUUAAGUCUGGUGUGAAAGGUUCAGGGCUCAACCCGAACAGUGCACUGGAUACUGGAAGACUUGAGUGCGGGAGAGGAGAGUGGAAUUCCUGGUGUAGCGGUGAAAUGCGUAGAUAUCAGGAGGAACACCGAUGGCGAAGGCAGCUCUCUGGCCUGCAACUGACGCUGAGGUGCGAAAGCGUGGGGAGCGAACGG
Molecule: ribosomal RNA, 408 nt
Filed under: uncultured bacterium
Lineage: Bacteria
Description: bacterial SSU rRNA
Rfam family: Bacterial small subunit ribosomal RNA
Source: RNAcentral